AUCUGUUUCUCGACUCUGUUGUCGAAGGUAAACUCUAUUGAACUAUCUUCUCCGGUUUAGAGGCUCUCGCUCGGUUUGGUCAAAUGGAGCAACCCUCCCACCUACCGGAGAAGUCGCGCGAUAGCUGCAGUUUCAGCAAAGCCCUGUCACGAGUGUUAUCUGUGUAGUAGAGUCACCGGCCGCCGACUCCACUCGGUCCCCCGCAUUUGUUACGGGUUACGUCAGCAAUGAGUGGUGCCAUUCAUUUUAAAAACUGCGGCUCCGUGCUGGUAACGGGAGCCAGCCGAGGUCUCGGGCUGCAGAUAGUCGACAGCCUGGCGAGUGGAGGUUUCUCCCCCGGCAAGAUAAUAGCCACGACCAGGAACCCCGCGAGCACGCAAAACCUUCAGGAACUGGCAGAGAAACACCCCAACAUCCACAUCAUCACCUUGGUGAACCAGGAGAGCAUAGAGAAGUCUGUGGAAGAGGUGGGCCAACUGGUACAAGAAGAGGGUCUGAACUGCCUGAUCAACAAUGCAGGGAUCAAUGUGGUGGCCGACUUUCAAUCCGUUACAGCAGAGAUGAUGAUAGAAAACUUCCACACCAAUGCUGUGGCUCCUCUAAUGAUCACCAAGGCCUUCCAGCCUCUGUUGAAACAAGCUGCGUCGAAAGGAGGAGCAGGUGGCGCAGGGCGCAUGGGCAUCCAGAGGGCAGCGGUCAUUAACAUGACCUCUCUGCUGGGUUCUGUGGAGCUCAACUGGGGAGAACCGGCCAACAACUUCAAAUGGUACCCCUACAGGACUUCCAAGAGCGCCCUCAACAUGGUAAGUCGCUGCAUGGCUGUAGACCUGGAGCCUGACGGGAUUCUCUGUAUGGCUAUACAUCCUGGCUGGGUCCGCACUGACAUGGGGGGGUCAGAGGCUCCGCUGCGUCCAGAGGAGAGCGUUUCUUCUCUCCUGUCUGUGAUUGGUGGACUGACUGAAAAGGAUCACGGGUCAUUUCUGAACUUUACAGGAGAGACUUUGCCUUGGUGACCCAUAUUAUAAGCACUUCUAACGGAUCCUAAUAGCUUUUUAUUCAGGUUAUGAACACCUUCUACUAGUUAAACUAGAAAAAGUGAAAUGACUUAGAUUGCACAGUGUUAGGUAACAUAUUUUGACGGUCCACACCGUACACACAGUAUACAGUUUGGCCGGUUCAGCCCUACAUACCUCUAACACGUCCCAAAAAGCUGUGUUCAAAUGGAAACAUUAACUGUUACAUUCUCUGUCCAGAUUACACAUCAAACUCGUUGUCCCAGACGAAUGGACAAGACUUAGUUGAGUCAGUCUUAACAGACAAUCUUCUGUUGAUUUGCAGAAGUGAAGUGAAUUAUCUGCAGUGGCACUUUUCUUGCGUUUACAGUUCAAAAUGCUAAUAUAAUAUCUAUAUACUGUAUUGUAAAAAUACCACAUGUACAAUAGUUCAGGCUGCUGCUUAAAUAUGUUAAUAUGGAAAUAUGUUACCUAUUUUUGAGAUCUUUACUGUGUACAGUUUUUAGCAUCAUCGUUGUAGAACAGUAUUAAAAGGCUGAGUUACCAUGAGUGUGUCUUGUCCCUAACUGUGUGUAUGAUCAUAAGAUGAUCUUGUUGUGUGGUGUUUGAGGACAUUCUUCCUUGUUGGAUUUGAUGUCGAACAAGGAAGUUUAGUAUAACAUUUUUAUCUUCCUCAUUCUUGGAGCGGCAAGUUUGGGCUUCGUUUAAUAACUUGGUGUGCCAGCGGGUUGACUUGACAUUUUGUUGUAUUUGUGAAAGGGCCAUUUUUAGGUACAUUUCUUAUUUCCCAUUGUGCCUCUCUCAUUCAUCAGGCAAACCUGCAAAACAAUAAAUGACGAGUCUGCGAGAUAAUGACAUCAAUGAAAGCGUACGGAAAGAGGUAUGUUUAGGCCACAUGGAUCUGGAGAGUCAGGGUUAGGCUGAUAGACUAUCCAGCUCCCGAGUGGCGGCUGUCGACUGCUGGAGAGCUGAGAAUGCCGUUCUCAGUAACAGUCAAGUACUGCAUCCUGGGCAUCUCGGUCGCUCUUCUUCUGCUGGC
Molecule: RNA transcript, 2052 nt
Organism: Anoplopoma fimbria (sablefish)
Lineage: Eukaryota; Metazoa; Chordata; Actinopteri; Perciformes; Anoplopomatidae
Exons: 7
Source: RefSeq, a predicted model, not a curated record